AUGAUUCUGAGGUUCAUAAGCAUGAUGGCUGGGUGUUAGCGUGCAUGUGUGAGAUGUGCCACUCUUGAACCUGGUCAUUAUAUUGGCACGUUACCUAUCUGACA
Small nucleolar RNA from Callithrix jacchus (white-tufted-ear marmoset), 104 nucleotides. Lineage: Eukaryota; Metazoa; Chordata; Mammalia; Primates; Cebidae. The record is from Ensembl.